UGAAUUAACAAAAAUAAAAGAGCCUUGAUGUCAAUAGAUGUUAGAAAAGAACUUUUUCAUCAUUAUAUAUCAAUGGCGAAAAAGUUAUUUUCUAAUUUCUAUUGACUCGAAGACUCUUUUAUUUUUAUCAAAUCGCCUCAAAUGAUCAUUUAAAUAUUUGUGAAGCUGAACAAAAUAAUAUGAUUUCUGUUGAUAACUUAAAAAGAUAGGGAUGACAAAAUAUCAUUUUCCAUGAUUUAGCCAUGAAAUAAUAGUAAUAAAUAUUAUCUAUAAAAUAUAUACGAAAUUCAAAUAAAAUAAUAUACUAAUUAAAAGAAUAGAUUAACUUACUCUGAUAAAAACUUUAAAAACAUGUCAAGUUUUAUUGGAGGUAGACCGAGAUUCCAUGAAAAUAAUAAAACUUCAUGUAGACUAUUCAUCUCAUUCAAAAUAAUUUUAUUUUUGUGCACUGCAUUAGAAAAGUAUCAUUCCUCUACUCUUAUAAUAAGAGCUCUGUUUUCAGAUAUUACAAAAUUGUAUCUUUGGUCCAAGCUUAUUUUCCCAUAACACAUAUUCUUCUGUUUAUAUAAUGUUGACGGUCCUUUUAAAAAUUGUUUUACAUACAUCUUGAAUUUACUCCAAUCAUGAGUCUAAAUACUUUCUCAGUCUAUAUUGUAAUUUUCGUACAUGAAGACCGUUAUUUCUGUCCCCAUAAUUCCUGUCAAAAUAAAUCAAUCUGCGUAAAAAAAAAUUCUGACAACAAUGUCAGAAUUUUUGAAACAUCUCAUCUGUCUUUGAACUUAUUCAAAUCCAAAGACAUACAGAAAUUCUGACAAAUUGGGAAGGUCUAAAGUGAAAAAACAAGCUGCUCUGGAAGCAAUUUUUCGUAAAGCUUCUUCAAUAUCAUCUCUGACGACAACAAUUCAUGUCAAUUCUAAAUCCAAAAGUAUAGAAAAGAAAGUCUCCACCAAACUAGUGCUUGCCACCAUCAAUGCCGUCUCAGCGUUUGGCAAAUUUAGCUAGCGCCCAAAAGGCCCCACCACUUGUUGAACUAUUUCACUCCUUAAAGAAUCAUUGAUAUGAAGAGAGACAUAAAAAGGGCCUCUGAAUCAUCUGCAACCGGUAGCGAUUAGUGCACACAGUAGCAUUGUUGGAGAAAUUCAAAACCGUUCAGCUCAUCUUUUAGCAGUCUGAACUGAGCAUACGGAGGCUAAUCAAGCUGCAAAAUUCUGUCAUGCGUUCGUACCAAGCGUACACAUUCCAACCGCUUGGAUGCUCAAUUCGGGGAUAAUGAGCAAGAUAAAGCAGGCUUCCAUGACUCUAGCCAAGAUGUACAUGAAAAGAGUGACAAUGGAGCUCGAAUCCAACUGGAACACAGACAGAGAAUCUAGCCAAGAUUCUCUUCUGCUUCAGGGUUCAUUUUGCAUACAGAGCUUAUCAGUUUGCUGGAGGCCUAGACUCGGAAACACUGCACGCUUUCGAAGAGAUAAGGCAACGCAUACCGGGACACCUUGCAGCAGGAUCUCGAGAACUUUUGGCUGGCAUACCAAUGGCAAUCAUCAUGAAAAGCCAUUGAUUUUCUUCUACUAUGCUCUUUUGGACUCUUGGUUGUCACCACCAAAAGCUGGAAUACUAACAUUCAUUACUAUUAUUUUUUUUGUUUUCCUCCUUAUCUAUCUCCCUCCAAUGGUCCCAAAACAGAAGAGAUAACAAAAAUGGAGAAACACCACAUAUUCACAUCA
Non-coding RNA from Arachis ipaensis, 1721 nucleotides. Lineage: Eukaryota; Viridiplantae; Streptophyta; Magnoliopsida; Fabales; Fabaceae. The record is from RefSeq and is a predicted model, not a curated record.